This is an RNA transcript of Sorghum bicolor (sorghum), 6963 nucleotides long. It is a transcript of the gene named probable quinone oxidoreductase, with no coding region annotated. The record is from RefSeq and is a predicted model, not a curated record. The transcript is spliced from 20 exons. Lineage: Eukaryota; Viridiplantae; Streptophyta; Magnoliopsida; Poales; Poaceae.
UACUCUGAUCUUCUCCCUUGUCCAUUUGCCUCGUCUCAUUUCGGCGGACUUUUUCCGAGUGUCGCCUCCUCCGCCACCCACGAUCUCCCCGCCAGAGGCUCGGGUGGGAUGGAGCUGAAGCCAGGCUUGUCGGCCCUCGUCACCGGCGGCGCCUCCGGCAUCGGGAAAGCUCUAUGCAUUGCUCUUUCAAGGAAGGGUCUGUUUGUGACUGUCAUUGAUUUCUCUGAAGAAAACGGAAGAGAAGUUGUUUCGGUAGUUCAAAAGGAAAACAAACAUAUUCAUCAAUAUGCUAGAGUUCCAUCUGCCAUAUUCAUCAAGUGUGAUGUUACCAAUGGAGAUGCUCUUGCUGCUGCUUUUCGGAAACAUGUGGACACGUUUGGUGGACUAGAUAUCUGCAUCAACUGUGCUGGAUUUGUCAAUAAAUCAUUGGUUUACGAUGAUAAAUCUGAUGGAACUUCCACUUGGAGGCGUGCUGUAAAUGUGAAUCUUGUUGCUGUUAUCGAUGGUACUCGCAUUGCAUCUCAAGUAAUGCGAUCCCAGAAGAAGCCUGGUGUCAUAAUAAAUAUUGGCUCAGUUGCUGGCAUAUAUCCUAUGAGCUAUGAACCAGUGUAUAGCGGGACAAAAGGGGGUGUGGUUAUGUUUACAAGAUCACUUGCUCCACUGAAGCGGCAUGGCAUUCGUGUCAAUGUACUGUGCCCUGAGUUUGUCCAAACUAAUAUGGGAGAACAAGUAAAUCGUGUACUUGUGGACGCGCUUGGUGGAUUUUUAAAGGUGGAGGAUGUUGUUAAUGGUGCAUUUGAGCUUAUAGAAGAUGAGAGCAAAGCUGGUGCUUGCCUUUGGAUAUCUAAACGUAAAGGGAUGGUUUACUGGCCAACAUCAGAAAUAGAAAAAAAUUACCUUGUUUAUUCCUCGAAAUCAAAAAAGGAAAUAGUAAAGAAUAGAUUUCCUAGUAUCCAAGCACCUGAAUACUUUCAGAAGAUUGUUGUUCACACACUCAGCCAUAAUUUCCGGAAUGCUACAAGGCUUGAGCGUGUGCGCCUGAGAUUACCCAUUGAACCGCACAGCGCUCUAGUCAAAAUUAUAUAUGCUGGUGUAAAUGCUAGUGAUGUAAACUUCAGUUCUGGUCGUUAUUUCAGAGCUAAUGGUAAAGAAGCUGCUUCGUACCUUCCAUUUGAUGCUGGUUUUGAGGCCGUGGGAAUUGUUGCUUCUGCUGGAGAUUUGGUGAAACAUAUCACAGUUGGCACUCCUGUGGCCCUUAUGACUUUUGGAAGCUAUGCUGAAUUCAUGCUGAUUUCAGCCAAAAGUCUUAUUCCAGUGCCAAGACCAGACCCAGAGGUGGUCGCUAUGUUAACAUCAGGAUUGACUGCAUCCAUCGCUCUUGAAAAGGCUGGUCAAAUGACAUCUGGACAGGUUGUUUUAGUCACUGCAGCUGCUGGUGGAACAGGACAAUUUGCUGUUCAGCUUGCAAAAUUAGCAGGCAACAAGGUUGUAGCCACAUGUGGAGGUGAAAGUAAAUCUACGUUUCUGACUUCCUUAGGAGUUGAUCGAGUUAUCAACUACCGAAGUGAAAAGAUCAAAGAUGUCCUGAAAAAAGAGUUUCCAAGAGGGGUCGAUAUCAUAUAUGAAUCAGUAGGUGGAGAAACAUUUGAUGUGUGUCUGAAUGCUCUAGCAGUCUAUGGACGUCUCAUUGUAAUUGGUAUGAUCUCUCAGGAGCUCUGCCUUUCAAUUAAGGUAAGGAAAGAGAGUUUAUGUACAAGCAAAGGCACUCCAAAAGGAGGGUUUAAGGCCCCCAGAAACAGGGACACUCCCCAGGGCCAAAACAGCGGCUAAACAUAAGCGAAAGCUCUCUUCCUUUGCUCUAUAUCUUCCUUUAUUCUUGUGGCCACUUGCGACACUGUUUCUAUGGCGUUGUUGAAGAUUCUCCUGUUUCUCUCUUUCCAAAUGUUCCAAAAGGUGUAGAUUACUACCCCAUUGAGUCUUCUGCGUUCGAAACUAGGCACCUUCCUUGCCGCCUCUUCCCACCAUGCUCUAAUAUGGAUGGGGUUGGCCUGAGGCUGCUGCUGUUGUUGUAGUUCAGUGAAGUUUUCCCAGGAGAGGAUUUGAUCCCAAACCGCCUUAGCAAAAGGGCAACAUAGGCAUAGGUGGAGGCCGGUUUCAAGGGGACCGUUGCACAACACACAGUUUGCUUGGUGUGGCCAUCCUCUCUUUUGUAGGUUGUGCGCCGUAAGAAUUUUAUCUUGCACCAAAAUCCAGGCAAAGAUCUUGCAUUUGUUCUCCACUUGUGCUUUCCAAAUGAGUUCAUUACUGAACAUGACGACGGAGCCUUUGAAUUGAAUUCUAUAAGCCGAACGGGUGGAGUAGAUCCCAUCCUGUGUCCAACGCCAAGUGAUGGAGUCCUUAACGCCCUCCUGAAGCUGCACAUCCUGAAUACGUAUCCAAAGGGACACAAAUUCCUCUAAGUGAACAGUCGAGGUGAUUUUCCCCCUUAGCGAGCGCAUCCAACUAUUGUUUCUGAGCUCUUGUUGCACUGUUCGGUUUUUCCUCAACACAAGCUGAAACAAAUUUGGGGCUAGGUACCUUGGAGCUUCACCAUCAAGCCAGUUAUGGUGCCAAAAUCGAGUCUUUGCGCCAUCACCCAGAGUUAUUGUGGUUGAGGAGUUGAAGAGAAGACGAUCAACAUUAGUACAUGGAAGUUCUGAGCCAAUCCAUGGCUUGGAGUCCUCUGUCCAUUGUUGCCAAAGCCAACGCAAUCGAAGGGCUCUCCCAAAUCUAUCAAGGUCAGGAACGCCUAAGCCCCCAAGGUUUUUGGGUCUGGUAACUGUUGGCCAGUUAACCAGGCAGUGACUGCCAUUAGCAUUCUCCUCCCCCUUCCAUAAGAAUGAUCUCCUGAUUUUGUCGAUCUUCUUUCUAGCCCAUGCCGCUAGGGGGAAUACUGUGAGGUGGUAGGUUGGCAUGGAGGAGAGGACUGAAGUUACUAGAGUGAGGCGUCCCGCUUUGUUUAACCAUCUUCCUUUCCAUUUGGGUAACCUUUGUCCAAUACGCUCAAUGAGAGGUUGCACAUGGACCUUUUUCAAAGAUCUGGUAUGGAGUUGCAGCCCUAGAUAUUUGCAUGGAAAGGUACCUCUAGUACCGGCGAAGGGUGAUAGGACUUGGUCUAAAUCAACAUUUUCACAUCUGAUUGCAUGCACAGAACUUUUUUCCAAAUUAAUGUGUAGUCCUGAGAAGGUGCCGAAUGCCUGUAGAAUAAUUUUGACAGCUUCCAUAUCUUCUUUUAUUGGGUUGAUGAAAAGAGCUGCAUCAUCGGCAUACAUAGAGGUUCUCCAUUUGGCUGCCAUGGAGGGUAAGGGGGUGAGUAUCCCAUGUUGGGUCGCUUGGUCAAGCAAGCGUUGAAGCGGGUCCAUAGCCAUUAUGAAAAGCAUAGGUGAAAGCGGAUCACCCUGCCGGACACCUCUGGCAUGGCAAAAGGUGGGUCCUUGUCGCCCGUUGAGCAAGGUUGUCGAAGUGGAUGUACGGAAGAGAAUAGAUAUCCAUUCACGCCAGCGUGGUCCGAAUCCCAGGGCCUGUAGGAUCUCAAGUAAGUAACCCCAAUUCACUGUAUCAAAGGCUUUGUGGAUGUCCAGCUUCAAGAACAAAGCUGGAAUCUUCUGACUGUGUAGCUUUCGCACUGCUCCCUGAACAUAAAGAAAAUUAUCAUGGAUGCUUCUCUUUUUUAUGAAUGCACUCUGGCAAUUGGAGACAAGUGAGUUCAGUCGAGGGGCUAGUCUGUUAGCUAGCAUCUUGGAGAAGAUCUUUGCAAUGCUAUGAAUGAGGCUGAUGGGCCUAAAAUCACUGACUCUCGCUGCAUCAGAUUUUUUGGGUAGAAGGACAAUGCAUGCAGAGUUUAGCCAUUCAAAACCCUGGGCAUUCAUUAUGAACAGGCUGUUUAUGGCAGCCAUAACAUCAUCUUUAAUAAUUUCCCAGCAAGCUUUGAAGAAAGCACCAGUGAAGCCAUCCGGUCCUGGCGCUUUGUCUGUAGGCAUGGAAUUUAUAGUAUUUUUUACCUCUUCCAGGGAGAAAGGCAGUUCCAAGUCUGAAAGAUCAUGUUGGGUGUAACCAAGAGAUUGCCAAUUGAUGGUUGUGGUUCUUGGAAUCGUAGAGCCAAUGUGAUUUUUGAAAUAAUCCCCUAUCACUUUUUCUUUUUCUUCAUGGGCAAUCGCAAUCCCCUCAUCCGUGUGUAGACAAUGUAUGUAGUUCUUUCUCCGACGCGCACUGGCUCGGAUGUGGAAAAAUUUGGUGUUGGCAUCCCCACAACGGAUGUAUGUGAGCCUCGAUCUUUGUCUGAUUCUUGAUUUUUCAAUGGCUGCGAGUUCCAUACUGCGGACUUUGAGGCGCCGGCAUAGGUGAAGCUCCAUAUCAGUGAGCAACCUAUGCUCUUGAGCUGCUUCUAAUUGCAACAGGACUUCUUUCACUAUGGCUAGCUGCAUCUUAGUGUCUCCUAUUUUUUCUUUCUUCCAACGUUUGAUUCCUUUAGCCACACGUGCCAUUUUGAUAUGUAAGCGUUUCAUAGGAAGAGCAGAGGCAACCGGCCUGUUCCAAAUGCUUUGGACAAGCUCCUGGAAGCCAUCCAUCUUAGUCCAAAAAUUUUCGAACCUGAAUGAAGUGUUCUGAUGGUGGUCAAGCUCUCCUUGCAGCAGCAACGGGGUGUGGUCUGACAUGAGAGAUGGUAGGGAGUGCAAGAAACAGCUGGGGAAGAUCAGUUCCCACUCCGGAGUGCAUAGGAGUCUAUCAAUUCUAGUGAGUGUUGGGGUGUCCUGCUGAUUGCUCCAAGUGAAGCGGCGUCCAUUCAGCUUGAUUUCUUUUAGCUUUAAGUGAUUGAUCGUGGCCCUAAAUGCUCCCAUGAGCCGCUGGUUUAGGUUGGAGUUGUUCUUGUCUUCCGCUUGGUAGAUUAGAUUAAAAUCACCCAGGAUGAGCCAUCUGUUGUGUUCCGGUGGAGGAAUGUUCUUUAAUUCUUGGAGGAAUUGAAGUUUGGCUGCAUCACCUUGUGGACCGUAUACGACUGUAAUUUGCCACUUUGUCCCAUCCGCCCUCAUGGUGAUUUGUGCAGUUAUUGCAUUCAUGGUUAGUUCAACAUCAGAGAGGUCGAAGAAGUCUUCAUUUACCGCAAGGAGAAUGCCUCCCCGAGUUUGUUCAGCCGGGAGCGUAGUAUAGGAGUUGACAAAUUUUGCUCCUACUGUACGGCUCACCACAUUUUGAUCUAUAAGCUGCAUCUUUGUUUCUUGUAGACACACAAUGGUGGCCCCGGUGCUUUUCACUAACUCGCUCACCGAGUCUUGCCGGACGCCGUCGUUCAAGCCCCUGACGUUCCAGUUAAGAAUUUGACAGUUUUGUUGUGCCAUAAAAACAAGCAAGAGACCCUUGUAUCAGCAGAACAUAUGGAGGGAGGUAAACUGCAGGCGAGCUGUAGGUUGCAGGAAAAACAUAGCCAAUUAAUCUGAGACACAUGCACUUGAAAACAACAAGCUGGAGGUGCCGAUUAAUCUGAAGGCCAGUGGCUGCCGGCGCGGUGAUACAAUGUAACAAAUUCUUGCGUACAGAGAUGCUGCUACAGCGAACUGCUAGGUGGAGGAGCUUCCCAGUUUGAUGGGGAGGCGACUGUAGGCCUCUGGCUGUCACCCCAUUCAACCCACAGAACUGGAAGCAUACAAACUGAAGGUCGACUCUAGUUGUGGAGCUCCUGGAGUGCUGAUGUUUUUCUAACAUUAAUACAUUAGGUGACACUUAGCCGUCAGCGGUUUCUAAGCUUGUGGAGUGGUUGCUGCAGCUGCUGCGUCAAGGCCGCACAGAGCCGUCAGAGCCUUCACAACGGCGUCGGUGAGUGGCCCCUUGAACAAAUAGAAGUAGCGCAGCAGCAGGUCGUCGUGGCUGAGUCCUUCAUUGUCGAGGAUGCCCAGCCUUUUCAUGAGCACCUGUCGAGCCUUGGCUUGAGUGUCGCCCCUUGGCCAAUUUCUGGCUGCUAUGCGCACACUCCUGCGUGCUGGAGCCGCCGCCCUCUUGCAUCGCUGCGACGGGCUGGCUCUGCGUGGUGGGACCUGCAAGAUGGGUUGGGGUAGGGGGUGUGAAAUUCCCUCUACAAACUCAGUCACAGCCAUCGUAGUAGCAGUUGAGCUGUCUCCAGCAGCCUGUACCUCCGAAACUUCGGAAGCCUGCUCCGGAAGUUGCUGCUGAAGUCCAUGUGCCGUGCGUCCACGGCGCGAGCAGGAUGCGGUUGAGCCUCGACCGCGGCGCCUGGAGUAUGUGCUCUGAAUGGUGACUCCAGUGGUUAAUAAACAUGCUUUGGGCUUAUACCAUCUGUUCCUAGGAAAGAUUUUUUAUCUAUUGAGAUCAUGCUUAUAGUUACCUGAGCUUGUGUUGGAAGUAUCAAGGAGAGGGAGGAUGGAAGCCACAGAAUUACACUGGACUAUGUGAGAAGAUUCUUGGGAAAAGUCAGACUGUGGCUGGAUUUUUCCUGAUUCAAUAUGCGCACCUGUGGAAAGAUCAUCUUGAAAAAUUGCUUAACCUUUAUGCCUCUGGAAAGCUAAAGGUUUUCGUUGACCCCAAGAAAUUCAUGGGUGUUUCUUCCGUGGCAGAUGCAGUAGAAUAUCUCCACUCUGGCAGGAGUGUUGGCAAGGUCGUUGUUUGCAUGGAUCCAUCCUAUGGCCAGACCCUUGCUAAGCUAUAAUGUGUACUUUGGAGCAUAUGGGCUGCAAUUUCAGCAGAAGAUUCUUCUUCAGGUUUACUGUGUACUGAAUUACUGAUGCGUAGAGUUACGCCGUAUGUUGGGAAUUGGCAGCACGUAGCUCGCUUGUCCAAGUUUGCAGUGCACGGACUAGGACGGGUGAAAAUUGGAAGGAAAUCGAAUAAGCCAGGUGGCUGUUUGUUUAAAUAAAGUGCUCUGCUCUAUUGUGAACUCUUUUGGAUAAAUAAAUGAAACUUCAGUGGAUAUUA